UGGCCUAAGUUGACAUCGAACCAUAAAUAUCAGUAUGUAUAAGAUCCAAAAUAUCACUCAUCCUUUCUCCAUAUCUAGUAAAUGGAGUCUUGAUCAUCUUACCCAUGAGACAAGAUUCGCAAGUUUCAUAUGAUUCAAAAUCAUAAGGAUCAAAGAAUUUAUCUUUGUAUCACUUAUUAAUUCUUGACUCAUUAAUAUGACCA
RNAcentral lists this long non-coding RNA (203 nucleotides) under Elaeis guineensis (African oil palm). Its description in RNAcentral is "long non-coding RNA (EGUI_LNC038051)". Lineage: Eukaryota; Viridiplantae; Streptophyta; Magnoliopsida; Arecales; Arecaceae. The record is from RNAcentral.